This 453-nucleotide long non-coding RNA is filed under the name Bos taurus (domestic cattle). RNAcentral's name for it is "long non-coding RNA NONBTAT011181". Lineage: Eukaryota; Metazoa; Chordata; Mammalia; Artiodactyla; Bovidae. The record is from RNAcentral.
AAUUCUAUGGUAAUUCCUCAGUUAGCUUUUUAAAUUACUCAUCAAAUAUUGGUCCUAAUUGCUUCCGAUAAGAAUAUUUCUAUAGUGGUUAGAUCUAAAUUCUAUACUUUGUUAAUUGGUAAUUUAAUUGUAUGUUCAAUGUAGAAUAAAACAGACUUUUCACAAAACUCUGUGCCAUUUGGAGAACUCUUUUAAAGGUUUAAUUUGAUUGUUCUAAUAAAAUAAAAGCAUCUGUAUGGAUACUUCUGAAACCCUAUUUUAUGACAAAUAAAGGAUUUACCUUUCUAAAAAAAAAUUGGCAAACCAGUAGUUUAGAGGGCUUCAGGCUAGGUAGUCCUAUAAAAUUAUCUAAGUGGACUAAGAUAUUUUCUCAUAUACCUCACUAAUUUCAGUUUUUAAAAGGAGCAUCUUGAAAUAUGUAUUUUCCUGUUUUUUUUUUAAUAAACUAAGGCA